RNAcentral lists this ribosomal RNA (440 nucleotides) under uncultured Gracilibacter sp. Its description in RNAcentral is "bacterial SSU rRNA". It matches the Rfam family "Bacterial small subunit ribosomal RNA", at positions 338 to 795 of the family's 1533-position model. Lineage: Bacteria; Bacillati; Bacillota; Clostridia; Eubacteriales; Gracilibacteraceae. The record is from RNAcentral.
CCUACGGGCGGCUGCAGUGGGGAAUAUUGCGCAAUGGGGGAAACCCUGACGCAGCAACGCCGCGUGGAGGAAGAAGGUCUUCGGAUUGUAAACUCCUGUCUUCUGGGACGAUAAUGACGGUACCAGAGGAGGAAGCCACGGCUAACUACGUGCCAGCAGCCGCGGUAAUACGUAGGUGGCGAGCGUUGUCCGGAAUUACUGGGCGUAAAGGGCGCGUAGGCGGUUCUUUAAGUUAGAUGUGAAAACCCAGGGCUUAACUUUGGGAGUGCAUUUAAAACUGAAGGACUCGAGUGCAGGAGAGGUAAGUGGAAUUCCUAGUGUAGCGGUGAAAUGCGUAGAUAUUAGGAGGAACACCAGUGGCGAAGGCGACUUACUGGACUGUAACUGACGCUGAGGCGCGAAAGCGUGGGGAGCAAACAGGAUUAGAUACCCCAGUAGUC